GUGUCAGCCGCCGCGGUAAUACGGAGGGGGCAAGCGUUACUCGGAAUUAUUGGGCGUAAAGGGCGCGUAGGCGGUCGUGCACGUCGGAGGUGAAAUCCCCGGGCUUAACCCGGGAGCUGCCUCCGAUACGGCUCGGCUUGAGUCCGGGAGAGGGGAGCAGAAUUCCCAGUGUAGCGGUGAAAUGCGUAGAUAUUGGGAGGAAUACCGGUGGCGAAGGCGGCUCCCUGGACCGGUACUGACGCUGAUGCGCGAAAGCGUGGGUAGCAAACAGGAUUAGAAACCCCUGUAGUCC
This 292-nucleotide ribosomal RNA is filed under the name uncultured bacterium. RNAcentral's name for it is "partial 16S ribosomal RNA". It matches the Rfam family "Bacterial small subunit ribosomal RNA", at positions 505 to 796 of the family's 1533-position model. The record is from RNAcentral.